This 964-nucleotide long non-coding RNA is filed under the name Heterocephalus glaber (naked mole-rat). Its description in RNAcentral is "lncRNA (ENSHGLG00000034722.1)". Lineage: Eukaryota; Metazoa; Chordata; Mammalia; Rodentia; Bathyergidae. The record is from RNAcentral.
CAGGUCCUUGUGCUUUCACAGCAGGCGGCUAAACCACUGAGCUAAAUCCCUGGCCCUUUAUCUUUCAUUUCUUCAGUCUCAUCAUCACCCACUUCUUUAUCUCAUUCCUUCUCCACAAAGGGAGUAAUGGGACAGCCAACAAACUGAGAAUAUUUCUUCAAAUCUCUUUUAUUUUUCUUUCUUCCACGUACUUAGUUUGGUCUGCUUUCAGAUGCAGGAUAACCUUUGCUCCUCUGCCACGGAGUUCACCUUGUCAGUCCUCAUUGAAGGACCUGCCUGCUGAAGGUUCCAGGCAUACUGCUCAUCAUCGCUUUGCUUGGUGGUCACAGUCACUCUCUCAGCAACCAAGUGGAAACCCACACCUGACCGGCCAGUCAUGGAGUUGUCAGUGCCAACCUGCAAAGCCUCCAUGAAGGCCUUGGUCUCCAACUUGGUGAUGGUGCUGAAGUCAUCCAUCAAGUUAACCCUGGUCAUUCCGAUCCCAGUAUCCACGAUGUCUUGGAGGCUAGAAGACCAUGACCAAUGGACUGGAAGGGUCACCUCCUUUUGAAGACUUAGAGGAAGGAUAUGUUCCACGCCUGUCUGUCCUAGCUCCUAGAGAGAGCCAGUGAUGUUUGGCUUUCCUUAAUUGUACAAGCACCGGUCUCUGCCUUCGCCCUGAGUGCAUGACUGAAUUCUCCGUCUGAAUUUCUCCCUGUUAUAAGGACUCCAGCUGUAUUGGAUUGGGGUCAAUUCUAUUGACCUCAUCUUUGCUAUUUAUAUUCUCAGAGAUGUUAUUUCUAUAUAAAGUUUUAUUCUGAAAUACUGUGCUUGGGAUCUUCAACAUAUAAAUUUUGGAGGACACAAUUCAACCCAUAACAGAAGUCAACCUACAAUGUAUCUGAUCCUCACAGCAGGGCAUGAUCUGCAUUUUCCUGGUGGGUCAGGCUCUGCAAGGCAGGCAGCCUAGAGGUGCCCAGCCAGG